RNAcentral lists this ribosomal RNA (431 nucleotides) under uncultured bacterium. RNAcentral's name for it is "partial 16S ribosomal RNA". It matches the Rfam family "Bacterial small subunit ribosomal RNA", at positions 29 to 506 of the family's 1533-position model. The record is from RNAcentral.
AACGAACGCUGGCGGCAUGCCUAACACAUGCAAGUCGAACGAGACCUUCGGGUCUAGUGGCGCACGGGUGCGUAACGCGUGGGAACCUGCCCUUAGGUUCGGAAUAACUCCCGAAAGGGGUGCUAAUACCGGAUAAUGUCUUCGGACCAAAGAUUUAUCGCCUUUGGAUGGGCCCGCGUUGGAUUAGCUAGUUGGUAGGGUAAAAGCCUACCAAGGCGACGAUCCAUAGCUGGUCUGAGAGGAUGAUCAGCCACACUGGGACUGAGACACGGCCCAGACUCCUACGGGAGGCAGCAGUGGGGAAUAUUGGACAAUGGGCGAAAGCCUGAUCCAGCAAUGCCGCGUGAGUGAUGAAGGCCUUAGGGUUGUAAAGCUCUUUUACCCGGGAUGAUAAUGACAGUACCGGGAGAAUAAGCUCCGGCUAACUCCGU